CGACACCCAACUGCUUUGACAACACCUCUCCUGGGCACUGGCCCUCCUACAAAAUUUGGGAUUUUUAAUCAAUUGGAAAAAGUCAAUAUUGACCCCAUCCCAGACCAUGGAAUUCUUGGGAUUCAACAUAGACGCGACAAAAGGAACACUACCAUGAAGGUCAAGAGCAUCAGGAAGGAAAUCCGCAGGACAUUGGCACGCCCAAUAUUAACCUUACGACAAUUGGCC
Pelobates cultripes (western spadefoot toad) is the source of this 228-nucleotide non-coding RNA. Lineage: Eukaryota; Metazoa; Chordata; Amphibia; Anura; Pelobatidae. The record is from the annotation of a GenBank genome assembly.